Molecule: ribosomal RNA, 171 nt
Filed under: uncultured bacterium
Lineage: Bacteria
Description: partial 16S ribosomal RNA
Rfam family: Bacterial small subunit ribosomal RNA
Source: RNAcentral
AAUUGCUAGUAAUCGCAGAUCAGCAUGCUGCGGUGAAUACGUUCCCGGGCCUUGUACACACCGCCCGUCACACCAUGAGAGUCGAUAACACCCGAAGCCUGUAGUCUAACCAUAAGGGGGACGCAGUCGAAGGUGGGAUUGAUAAUUAGGGUGAAGUCGUAACAAGGUACC